CUUCUUCUUCUUUCUCUCUCAACCUUCACGCUUUUUCUUUCUCAACUUUCACCAUCUUUUCCUUUCUCUCUCAAUCUUCACCAUUUUCUCAUUUCUCUCUCAACCACGUCGUCCAUCCACUCCUUUCUCUCUCAACCAUGUCGUUGCCACUCAACGUUCGUCAAAUCUGAUUGUUGACCAUUGUCCAACCCAUCCGGUUCAUCUAGAUUUGAUCAAUGGUAAUCGUCGUCGUCUAGAUCCAAGUUCGUUCCAUCCAUCCAGAUCUGAGUUCGUUCCAUCAAGAUGUACCUAUUUUUAUGCUUGGGCCUUUGAAGAAAGGUCAUCCUUGGAAAGUUGAAGAAGAGUCUGAAAAAUCCCAAAGAAAAACUGUUUUCUUUGAGAUUUAAUGAUUUUAAGCUUGAUGAACGAGUAAUCCUAUUGAAACAUCCGACUUUAGGAGUUCUGGAGUUCAUCUUAAAGAUAUGGGGCAUACAACUACUAUUUUGGGCUGAUAUGACGCUUAGGAUGAUCAAUUCAUUGAGAUUAUGUCGAUUGAACAAAUGGGCAUAGUUACAUUGGAAAAUAACUCAAAAUAGCAGCAUUAAUAUGAAAAACAGCAUAGGAUUGUCGGUUAAGAAUCGAAGCAUAAGCAUUCUCCAAGGACUGGAAUUUGUGACGUAGGGUCUAACCCUUUUUGCACAAUCUUUUUAUUUUGGUUAAGCUUGUAAAAUGCCUUGUUAAGAAUAUACUUAUUGAUAUUUUCUUCAAUCAAUUGGGAGAGCUUUGCAAUUUGCAUAUUGUGCUUCCUUGAGAAGGUAUUCUUUUUUAGUAAAGUACAUGUAUACGUUUAAAUUAAGUUAUAUAUUUUUUUAGUAAAAUACCUAGUAAAGGAUAUGUUUGUUUGAUUCUCCAAACCCUUCUUUUUUAAUAAAAUGCCUAGUAAAAGAUAGUUAUUGAUAUGUUUGUAUAACUAUCCUUUUGAGAUUUCCUGUUUUAUGUUCUGUAGGUGGUUGGGGUAAUUCAUUUGUUUCUCUUGGAAUUAUUCUCAUGACUGAAAGCUUUUGAAACGGGAUUUUAUGGCUGUUACAGUUAGGUUUCCUAGUAAAUUGUUUGGGAUGUUUUGUAUUUUUUUCUAUCUGAUUGUUUUGUAUGUUUUGUAAUCCUAUAAGAUAUAUUUUUUUAAUGUAUUUUCUAUUAGUUAUAUUAUUUAUGUCAAAUUUGAUUAGGUAGUUGGUUUGAGUAUUAGUGUUCUGAAAACUCUAGUAGUUAUGUUGAGAGAAGAUUGUUGUUUGAAUAUUGUUGGAAGUUCAUUUCUUUAAACAAGUGUUAAAGUAAAAUCUUUUGUAUUGUUGUGGUAGUGCUGUCAUGUUGCCGAAAUUUUUCUAAAAUAUAAGAGUUAUAAAGUUAGUUGUAGGUUAAUAUAUGAUAAUAUUCCUUAGUUUAGCAUUGAAAUUUGGGAUCAUUACAAUGACUAUUGUGUAGCUAUGGUAGUAGUUUAUGGGUUGAGUUCAUUUCUUUCGUUAUUUAUAAAUUACUUAUAUUAACGCAACUUAUAUUUGUUUGUUUAUACACUCUGUGUUUGACAUUGCUCACAUGAGUACAUGGAGGUUCUGGAUAGAGGGCAUAACAAACUCAUCCAUAGAAUAGAGAAAAGAAUAGCAAGUUUUGCAUUCAUUCCUUUUGGUAAGUUUGUAUAAAUAUAGUUUCCAUACUUCAUGUAAUUUCUUUUAGUAUGAUUCAUUUAUUUUUAAAUUAUUCUUGAUUUUAUAUACUUAAACAAGCAUAUCUUCUUUGCAAUUUUUUUGGGAUAAUAAUGACACUCCAAAGUA
Molecule: non-coding RNA, 1808 nt
Organism: Benincasa hispida (wax gourd)
Lineage: Eukaryota; Viridiplantae; Streptophyta; Magnoliopsida; Cucurbitales; Cucurbitaceae
Source: RefSeq, a predicted model, not a curated record